UGAGCUUCGCGAGCAGAGAGGAGUAUGUCCUAUUAGGUUGUUGGUGGGGUAAAAGCCUACCAAGCCGAUGAUGGGUAGCUGGACUGAGAGGUCGACCAGCCGCAAUGGGAUUGAAAUACGGCCCAUAUUCCUACGGGAAGCAGCAGUGAGGAAUUUUUCACAAUGGACGAAAGUCUGAUGGAGCAAUACCAUGUGAACGAUGAAGGUCUUCUGAUUGUAAAGUUCUUUUAUUUAGGAAAAAAAGCUUGAGAGGAAAUGAUUAAGCCUUGAUUGUACUAAAUGAAUAAGUGACAGCUAACUAUGUGCCAGCAGCUGCGGUAAAACAUAGGUCACGAGCAUUAUCCGGAUUUAUUGGGCGUAAAGGAAGCGUAGGCGGACAAAUUGAUCUAUUGUUAAAGGCACUUGCUCAACGAGUUGUUUGUGAUAGAUAUCGUUUGUCUAGAAUUAGUUAGGAGAUACUGGAAUUCAAUGUGUAGCGGUGGAAUGCGUAGAUAA
Molecule: ribosomal RNA, 495 nt
Filed under: Candidatus Mycoplasma haematominutum
Lineage: Bacteria; Bacillati; Mycoplasmatota; Mollicutes; Mycoplasmatales; Mycoplasmataceae
Description: bacterial SSU rRNA
Rfam family: Bacterial small subunit ribosomal RNA
Source: RNAcentral